This 198-nucleotide ribosomal RNA is filed under the name Triticum aestivum (bread wheat). Its description in RNAcentral is "partial small subunit ribosomal RNA". Lineage: Eukaryota; Viridiplantae; Streptophyta; Magnoliopsida; Poales; Poaceae. The record is from RNAcentral.
AUGACAUUCUCUUAUGUCGCUGCUGGAUGGGAGGGUUCUGCAUCGGAUCAAGCUGUUCUAAGAUGGGCUGUGACUAGUGGGGGUUUAGUUGUUCCUGAAGGUAAAUUUUACCUUGUUUUCAGGCUACGCAAAUACUCCAAGAUUUAUUACCCCGUAUCGCGGAGAUCGCUAUCAUAUUGCUUCUUUUCGUGGAAGUAA